This 202-nucleotide long non-coding RNA is filed under the name Carica papaya (papaya). Its description in RNAcentral is "long non-coding RNA (CPAP_LNC007125)". Lineage: Eukaryota; Viridiplantae; Streptophyta; Magnoliopsida; Brassicales; Caricaceae. The record is from RNAcentral.
AAGCCAUGAAUGGUAGGCAAGUCAACACCGACACCAUCAACUCCUUGAAAGAGCUUCGUUCGAGAAAGAAUUGACAAAGACAUGUCUGCGCCUAUGUCUUCAUUUUCUUCGAUUUAGACAUACAUGAUUUCAGCUUGCUGAUUAAAGGAUGAAUUACCGAGAAGAGGAUGAUAGCACCAUAAAAGACUUACUAGGUUUAUAU